RNAcentral lists this ribosomal RNA (274 nucleotides) under uncultured bacterium. RNAcentral's name for it is "partial 16S ribosomal RNA". It matches the Rfam family "Bacterial small subunit ribosomal RNA", at positions 523 to 796 of the family's 1533-position model. The record is from RNAcentral.
AUACGGAGGGUGCGAGCGUUAAUCGGAAUUACUGGGCGUAAAGCGUACGUAGGCGGUUGGUUAAGUUAGAUGUGAGAGCCCCGGGCUUAACCUGGGAACUGCAUUUAAAACUGGCGAACUAGAGUUGAGUAGAGGGGAGUGGAAUUUCAGGUGUAGCGGUGAAAUGCGUAGAGAUCUGAAGGAACACCAGUGGCGAAGGCGACUCCCUGGACUCGAACUGACGCUGAGGUACGAAAGCGUGGGUAGCAAACGGGAUUAGAAACCCUAGUAGUCC